UAGGGAAUCUUCCGCAAUGGGCGAAAGCCUGACGGAGCAACGCCGCGUGAGUGAUGAAGGUCUUCGGAUCGUAAAACUCUGUUAUUAGGGAAGAACAAAUGUGUAAGUAACUAUGCACGUCUUGACGGUACCUAAUCAGAAAGCCACGGCUAACUACGUGCCAGCAGCCGCGGUAAUACGUAGGUGGCAAGCGUUAUCCGGAAUUAUUGGGCGUAAAGCGCGCGUAGGCGGUUUUUUAAGUCUGAUGUGAAAGCCCACGGCUCAACCGUGGAGGGUCAUUGGAAACUGGAAAACUUGAGUGCAGAAGAGGAAAGUGGAAUUCCAUGUGUAGCGGUGAAAUGCGCAGAGAUAUGGAGGAACACCAGUGGCGAAGGCGACUUUCUGGUCUGUAACUGACGCUGAUGUGCGAAAGCGUGGGGAUCAAACAGGAUUAGAUACCCCCGUAGUCCCUGAGCGGGCUGGCAAGGCGCAU
Molecule: ribosomal RNA, 472 nt
Filed under: uncultured bacterium
Lineage: Bacteria
Description: bacterial SSU rRNA
Rfam family: Bacterial small subunit ribosomal RNA
Source: RNAcentral